AGCUCCAAUAGCAUAUAUUAAAGUUGUUGCAGUUAAAAAGCUCGUAGUUGGAUUUCUGGCAUGAUGCGCCUGGCCCGCCUCGAUUACGAGUGUGUGUGCGAGUGCGCGUCUGCCAUCCAUUUACAGAAUGUAUCUACCCUUCAUUGGGCCGGAUAUGUGAUGUAAAUCUUUUACUUUGAAAAAAUUAGAGUGUUUAAAGCAGGCAUUUGCUAUGAAUACAUUAGCAUGGAAUAAUAAUCUAGGACUUCGGUUCUAUUUUGUUGGUUUCUAGAUCUGAAGUAAUGAUUGAUAGGGAUAGUUGGGGGUGCUAGUAUUAAGGGGCCAGAGGUGAAAUUCUUGGAUUCUCUUAAGACUAACUUAUGCGAAAGCAUUCACCAAGGAUGUCUUCUUUAAUCAAGAA
This 400-nucleotide ribosomal RNA is filed under the name phytoplankton environmental sample. RNAcentral describes it as "partial small subunit ribosomal RNA". It matches the Rfam family "Eukaryotic small subunit ribosomal RNA", at positions 587 to 983 of the family's 1831-position model. The record is from RNAcentral.